Cryptomeria japonica (Japanese cedar) is the source of this 40708-nucleotide long non-coding RNA. RefSeq lists it as uncharacterized. The record is from RefSeq and is a predicted model, not a curated record. The transcript is spliced from 20 exons. Lineage: Eukaryota; Viridiplantae; Streptophyta; Pinopsida; Cupressales; Cupressaceae.
UUUCUAAGUUUAAGUUGGCGAGCUGGUCUUUUGUUUUUCUUUACGCUACAGAAGGUUCUCGCGGAUAAAUUUGGCGCUGAAAUAGAUGUAGGUCACAGCAAUCCUGUGUCAAUUUGUUUAGGAUUUGGAAAAUAAUCAGGAUUGAAAAUUCUGCUGUUAAAUCUUGCUGAUUCUUUUCAGCAAAAUGGCCUAUCUAUUAUGAGUAGAAAGGCACUUACUGGGAAGAGAAUACAGGUUUUUGAAUUUGUUGGUAAAGAGACUAUAGAUCUGCUAGCCACAGAUACAGGUAUUGAUAUUGAAAAAGAUGACUGGGAGAUUGAGCAAGGUGAAACUGAGGAAUAAUGCUCAGAAGAAGCCACUUUUGGUCGAUGCUUCUACAUUUAUGGAGGUCCUUAGCAGCUGGAGAAGCUGGAAACUUUGUCAAAUCAUUAUGAAUUACUAUGGAGUAGAACAAGAACAAGACUUCUGGGGGAAGAUAAAGCUGCUUUUGAUAGAAUGCUCAAGCAGAUGCAACAGUGCCAGCAAAGCAGCUGAGAUGGAGAGAAUUUUAAGUUUGAUAAGGGUAAAAAUGUUGACAGUGGAGAAACAGGCAACGGAAAUUAGAUGAAAAUUCAUUGUGAUGCAAGUGUCAGCAAAGCAGCUGAGAUGGCAGUAGGCUUUACGGCCACAUUUGGGGAGCUUUCUCUCAAUGAAAUAGUCUAAAAAACAGCUGAUCAUCUUGAGGCUAUUAGAUCUGAAGGAGUGCAUAGGCUUUUAGAGUUGAGCUAUCUUGGAGCAUCUCAGCUCCUCUUGACAAAAACUCAAAUGCACCAGGUGACAAAGUAAUGGAUGGGUAUUCUCUUAUAAUUGGAUGAUCAGAUGAUUAUUUUUUAAAGCCAAAGCUUGUCAGAUCCAAAGCACAGUCCAUGGCCAGUGGUAAUGAGGCUGCUUCAAACAGUUUUAAACAGAAAAAUGCUGCUCAGGUGAAGAAUACACAAAGAAUGGAUUGGAAAGUAAAGGACUGUUCAGUGAUUUAAAACAUACUGUAAGUAUUUUUCUAAUCUAAAUUAACCAUUGGAUCUGGUCUGAAAUCUUUAAAAAAUUUAAUGUUUUCCAAUUAUUUUUGCAUGAUGGGUUAGUUUUUUAAAUAUUUGGUGAUUUGUUGACGUUUGCAGAUUUUUUUAGUUAUAUUGAAUCUUUUUAAAACAAAAACGCUUGAGAAAAUAGAUUUUCUUCCGUGUGGACCAAUUUUAAAAUAUGUUUUUUGCAAUUUUUUUGAAAUCAUCAUUAAAAUCAUAUCUCUAUUCCUGAAAUUACUAUUAUGUGUCGGACUCCUCUAUGCUGAAUGUUAGUUUAUCUAGAAUAUAUGGGUUUCUGAAUGUAAUUUAGAGGAACUUGGAAUAGUAACUAAAAAUCAUUUUUAAAGUUGAAGAAAUUAUUUUGCUCAAAACAUAGUUUAAAUGAUCUGAAAACUAAUACUAUAUAUCGAAGAAGAUCCCACAUCGAUAUAGUAUGCUUCAACCGAUACUAAAUUCAUUUUACGAGAACAUUAAAGUGACACCUAUUGAAAGGAUUAUAUAUGAUAUGGUAUUUCCAUAGUCUACAGAAAUGAUUUCAAGUGCUUUUGGUAAUAAAUGUAGGGAUUUUCUAGGGCAAGUUGUUAGCCUGGAUGUGGCUGGCUGCCCUCUUGGAGUCAACCCAAUUAUGGGUAUUAAAAAAGUGCUCCCCUUUGAGAAGUGCUCCCUUGCUAGGGUUGCAAAUAAAGUAAAUGAAAAUUCUUUUGCUAGAGCAGACCUCAUUAAGUUUUUCUUUUGCUAGAAAAGACCUCAUUAAGUUGGGCACACCCUUCUUGGACAAAGAAAUAAAAAAGACAAUAAAUAUAAUGCUCCUCAGUUCACCAACAUGAAGGAAAGCAACCGCUGAUGAAGGGGUACAAUUUGCAUAUGUAAAGAGAUCAUUUGGGAUUCACAUUAUCAAGAAUUCAUUUAUUAUAUUCCCAUCAAGAGCAGAUUCUAAGGUGAAUUAUUGCAGACCUUAUGAGCAAAUUUUAAGGUGAUUUAUUGCAGACCCAUGAGCAAAAACUAUUGAAGAUUCCAAACAGGUUUAAAGAAGCAUUUUUGAGCAGAUUUGUGGAGGGGAGGUAGUUCUGAUUCAAGAAGAAGAUCAAGUACUUAUCAUAUCAUUCUUUUAUUGCGUUGGUGCCUCAUACUCAAGGAGAUCGAUGUCUCUUGCUGCGUUGGUGCUCAGUUGUGGGGAAUGGCGUCUCCAAUGGGUUGGUACCCACAAAGAUUGUAAGAACUUUCUAAUACAAAAAUAAUAUGUUGCCGUAGUUUUAUCUUGCAAGGGUUUCCAUUCAAAUUGUGUUCUUCUUGCCCUCUUGCUUGCGAGAUCUUGCAUUUGUGGAUAAUUGUAUUGCAAUAUUGCUUUUGUAAUUGUUUAUGUUUUUAAAAGUAAAAGUUUGUUGUUAUACUAAUUCACUCCACUCUCAGUAUAAUUGAGUGUUCUUCAAUUGGUCUCAUAGCGGGUUCAUUCAGAUAUAGCCUAAUUGCUUGAAGGUAGAUUUCUAAGAGCACUUAUGUUUGAACAAGAAGGAUACAUAUUCUUGUCAAACAAGGCACCAUUCUUUGAUGGGACAAAUUAUGCCUUUUUGAAGCAUAUGGAUGGAAACCUACUUGAAUGCCCUAGGAUAUGAUAUUUGGCAAUUGGUUUCCAAACUAAUGGCACUACCAUAGAAUAGUAGGGACCCCUCUGUUUGAUCUCUAUUAGUAGGCAGGCAUGUUACGUAUAUAAUAAUCGGGCCCCUACAAUUCUAUGGGUUCUUUGCCCUACUAUUUUAUGGACAAACCUACCAGAAUUGUGGGGGAGCAGUGAAUGGCUACACACCUUCAUUAACUCCCCCAAUCAAUCAUACCAGGAAGAAAGAAAGUGAGGACAUUGUAAAAGCCAAGCAUGAGAUUUUGUGUGGAUUAUUUGAAUAAUUGUUUGUGAAGGUAUGCAUUGUAAAUCAGCUAAGGACGUGGGAUAAGUGUAAGAAUAUCUAUGAAGGACAUUGAUCAAGUGAAAAAGGCAAAGCUUCAAACACAUUAAGGACAUGAAAGCCUCAAGAUGGAUGAAGAAGAGAUUAUAGCCUCCUAUUUGCUUUGUGUUGAUGAUAUUAUAAACACAAUAAGAGGUCUUGGUGAAGAAGUUGUUGAAGCCGUAAUUGUUCAAAAUGUACUAAUGUCCUUGCCUUUAAAAUUUGAUUCCAAAGUUUCAGCAAUUGAAGAAAUGAAAGAUUUAGACAAAUUGACAAAGGAUGUGUGUGUUGCAUGGAAUUCUUACUCCCUAUGAAAUGAAGAUUGAAGACAAACCAUCAAAAAGGGAGGCCACCUUCAAAGCAUCAAUGAAGGGAAAGAUCUUAUAAAGUAUGUGAACCAAGUGAUAGUUCAUGCAAUGAAACAGGUGAAGAAGAACUUCACCUCAUGGGGAAGCUAAAGAAAGGUUUUAGGAAAUAUCAAGAUAAGUUACCAUUUAAUUGCUUUGUGGUAGAUUAAGACACUUUGCUUCUAAGUGCCCACUAUAACCUCUAUGUCCUGCCAUUGGGCCACCUCGAGGGAUGAGUAUCCACGUGGGGAGCUAUCGCCUGUCUCUUCAUCAGACUUGUUGUACUGGCGCCAUUCAAGCUCAAAACGCUUGUCCAAAGGAGUGUUCUUGAUGUUAGCCCUGGGUUGACUCACUUCUAGUUGGUAGACCGAGAAAUCCUCCCUCUUUUUCCUAGGCCAAGAAUCUAACUUCAUGGCUUCCAACAUGGUCUGGGGGAUGGGUUUCACGGGAUUGUACUUUUGCAUGAUGGAGUAAAAGCUCAACCACGGGGGUUGUUUUAGCACGGGAAAAUCAUUGAGACCCACAUAGAGAUUUGGGUCGUCCACUUGUGGGUUAGUGUGCCCUUCACACGAGCUCUGUGGUUAGUGUUUUAUCGCAUUCUUUCUUCUAGAAAGGCACCCAUCUGGGUCACAACUUAAUGUAUCAUCAAUCACUACCAAGCCGAAUUGCACCAGCUUAGAUGUCAGGGCGUUUUCUACAAUGUUUGUUUGAACAAGAGUGAUGGGGCCAAUAGUUUUGUGGUCCUCUGUAAUGGAGAUGUCAUGCUUCCUUGCCCCUAUGACCCUUUCAAUUCUCACCAACUGUCUUGCAAUUUUGAGGGCGAGGGUCCUUUCGGUGACAUAGGUAGGUAGGCGGAAGGGCUCCUCUAAGAAACCAUGCACUCGGAUAAAGGAAAAAUCACUAUCUAAGAAUCAGUCACAAGGAGGGCGCUCAUUGUACAUCCAAUUCAUCUGAACUUGAGAAAAAUAGGCAAGUGGUUCAACGGGGAUUGAACCGAGGUCUCUAAAGAUGAGAGCUAGGAAACAAUAGCCAAUCACAUGUAUUGGCUAAAGAAAACCUCAUUUUGAUGCAGAAACAUGUAAACAAGGAUUGAUGCGAAUUUGAAGCACUGAAACUGCUGAAACUCGAUUAGCUGCUUGAUCAUUUCUCUGGCCACGAGGACAAAUAAGUCAAAGUGAAAAGACCUCCUCUGCUUCCAACAUUUCAACAAGAAGCCCAUCAUUGCAGGAGUGAUCUCUCGGUCAUUGUCAUGACUGCAUAACCAUGCAAGAGUGGACGAAAUAUCCUUGAGGUCAUCUUGUCUCAAGUCACCAUAAGACAAGGGGAGUCUUGGGAGUCCGAUUGAUGGACUUCGAUUGAGGGCACCAUGAUAGAAUAAGACAUCUCUUUUGGUAUUCCAAUAUUCUUCCAUGACAGCUUUUGAGAACACCUCCGUCCCUUCGAAAACGGGACAACACAUCAUGUCCCUUAUGGCCUCUAGGGAUAUUACCAUUUUCAGGAAAGAGUUGCUAAUUGAACAAGAAACAGGGUCGAACCCGUUGGCACACGCAACCACGAACUCUGGAUAGUGCGGAGCCAUGGGAACCACAAAUUGAGGGGCACCACUAUUCUAGAAAUUAGCUGCCGUGGACUGAGGCUUUGCCCUGUAAUGAAUCAUUCUCCUGCAUGCGACCUCUUCGAGGUUCUUGGGCUGUUUAUGCAGCUCGGGCUCAACCACACUGUCAAGAGAAUCUAUCACUGCAGAUGCGUUGCGGGUAACUGACUUAGACUUGGCCUUAGUCCUCGGAUAUUCCGGCUUGAGCGGAAUGGAUGGCGUGAGAAGAAUAAGAGAGUUCGCCGAAAACGUCCACCCAUAAUCUUUCUUGAACAAAACCAGAGGGAGUCGCUUCUGCUUCCAUUUUCUUCAAGAGAACUUUCCUCUCAACUCUCCAAAAGUUUUUUGGGUGCUUUAGGUUGCAAAUGAGCAAUAAGAUGGAUGUCUGGCGACCUUCCUCUUUUAAUGCACUACAUGCCUAGAUCUUCGCGAAAGAAGGUAUUUAAUGACGAGCGUCCAUUUGCAUGUAUGCCAAUUCAUUUUCUAGUGGUAAUUAAUCUUGAGGAGGACGAGCGCCGCCAUCUAUGUUUCCCAAGAGAAAACCUACUCAGUCCGUCGUUAAUCGGAGCCACUUGAGAGGAUUUGCUUGUUCGGACGGAUCUCCCCCUUAAUGAAGAAUAACAACAACCAAUAGGGCUCGCACAAAUUAAAAGUCCUGCGGAGAUUAUGGUUUAAAUACGAUGUACCUAUACAUACGCGUGGCAUCUAAGGACAUCGCCUCUUUCUUUGAGGUACCAAGCAGGACGUUUGCCAACUCCGAAUCAAACUUUGCCUACUUGUGUGAAUUGAUGAGGAAUGACAGAUGUGUCAGAAAUUGGGAGCAUUGGUAUUUUUCAUCAAUUGUCACCUAGAGCUGAGAAUUCGUUAUAAAUGUCUUUUCAAACAUUCCUUUACACAGUAUCAGCUUCAACGACGAAGCUUCUUGAGGAAAUGGAUACCCCUGUUAGGCUCGUCAGUAGUAAGGCUCAGGUCGCUUUCCUCGGAAAUAUUUCAGACAGAAGGCUGCAAAGGAUGACAAGGUAGAAGAAUCUCUUGAUCAUUGCUGCCAUCAAAUGGUUGCUUGGUGAGGACUUCAUAGAUGACGUGGACAAAUACCGUGUAAACAUGGACAUUUGUUCGUGUUUCGUGGCUUCACUGCUAGAUUCUGGGAUGACUGGGCUUCGGACCUCAUAGCUCACUAAAGCACUUUUCUCCCGUGAUUAUUUGGGGGGUUUGGAGGAUGUUGUGGCAUACCACAUCCCUUUCAGAGGCCUAGCUCUGGCGUUGGAUUUGAGGCGUUUCAUCACUUCUGGUGAGGAGGUGACUUGGCACUCGCUUAUUGGCGGUUUGAGAACAAUGACGUCGUCAUCUCAUCGCUUUCGAGCGAAGCUUGCUACAAAGUAUCUCCUCCGGAUCCACUUGACAGUUCUUGUUCCGGAUGGCAUCGAAUGGUACACUGACUUCAGGGAUUACAUAUCCCCACAGGUCCUGACGCCGCAUGUCCAACCCAAUCUGGUUCUCGUGUCCAUAUCUCAGGAGCCUGGCAACGUUUUCGAUCACAAGUGGUCAGAGGGGGAAGAUACUGCAGAUGAUGCUGGCGACUCUGAUUUCCAGAUUGAGGAUGAUGAAGAUGAAGAGGAUCCUUGAGGAAAUGGCAUCCUGCCUUUGAAAAAUUCAUCUUGCUUCUUGAUGUUAAAAAUUAGGCUGGAGGCCUACUGAUGAAUUAUAAAAAUACUCAUAACAUAAUGAUUUUCUUUUUGCUUAAUUAUGGCAUAUCUUGUGAUUUUCACUUUGCUUCGGGAAUGCAUGAGGAAAAAUAAAUAAAUAAAUAAAGCACACGAAGAAACAUAUUUACAUUAUGUACAUAUAAGGAAAAAAAUUCACUAAUGGAAAGGCUUAAGGUGGAAUCCGUUAACCGGGAUUCCGAGAGAAAAUCCCUGCAUAUCUUUGAGAUCAAAGGCAUUGAAACCUUUGCAAUUCGUAAUGCAGAAGGGCCCCUCCUAGAGACCAUCAAAUUUGUCAUGCUGACCGGGUUUGGCUGCCCUCUCAUUGUACUUCAAAACGAGGCCGCCUUGUUUGAAACCUGGGUCAGAACUUUUCUUCUUAUCAAACCACCUUUUGAUGGUUUGCUGGCGGUUCUAAAGGGACGAAAAUGCUGCUUCCCUUGCUUCUUCUAGUUCCAUAAUUUUCGCCAGUUUUGAAGAUCAAAUUUCUUAGGUCAUACAAAGGAGAAUUCAACUCCAGGCAUGGGACAAGGAGACAAUUUUUAGUUGGAAGAACUUGACAACAAAAUGGGGAUGUGGAAAGAAAGAAUCGAAUAGUUCAAAAUGGCUAUAUCCAUGUUAAAUGAGUCAAAUUUAUUUGACACUUUUUGGAGAGAUGUAGUUUGUGUGGUAGUCUAUAUUUUGAAUCGUGCACAAAUGAGAGUAAAUGAUAGCAAACACCAUAUUAGUUAUGGAAAGGAAGGCCUGCAACAGUGAAGUAUGUCAAGGUGUUUGCAAGCACAUAUUACAUAAGGAGAGUUGAAGACGAUCUAGGAAAGUUUGAUUCUAGAGCCGAUGAAGGAAUAUUCGUAGGCUACUCAACAAGAAGUAAAGCAUAUAAUGCUAUGAUAUUUGGCACACAAGGUUGUUGAAAUUGCAAAUGCGAAAGUAGAUGAAGGAAGAUACUAUGAAGGAGUUCAAGAUGGUCUUCAAAAUUUGGAAGUUUGCAAAGAAGAGGAAACAAAGGAAGAAACUAAGAAAGAGAUUGUUGAGCAAAGGGACCCAAAGACACCACCAACAAAACCACUCAAGACCCCAUCCAAAUUUGCCUAAAAGAAUCAUUUAAAAGACUUGAUCAUUGGAAACAAAGAUAUAGAGAUUUAGACAAGGAGGUUAUUUACUAGCACAUCAAAACAUGCUAAUCUAUGCUUUCUCUUAAAAAUAGAACCAAGGGACUCUACAAAAGCUAGGACAAGAAUGCUAUGGAAUGGGAACUAGAUCUAAUUGAGAAGAAUGAAACUUGGGAACUUGUCCCAAGACCUAAGGAUAAGAAUGUGAUUGGCACUAAAUUGAAUUAGGAUGGCCAAGUCAUAAGAAACAAAGCAAUGCUUGUAUGCAAAGGAUAUGCUCAAGGUAAAGGAAUUGAUUUCAAACAAACCAUUGCCCUUGUUUGUAUAAUAAGAGAUGGAUGUGAAAUUAUGCUUCCUAAAUGGAAACUUGGAGGAAGAAGUGUACAUUGAACAAUUAGGAAGAUUUCUCCUAUUAGAGAAUGAGGAUCAUGUUUGCAAGCUAGAGAAGGGACUUUAUGGAGUAAAACAAGCCCUAAGUGCUUGGUACUCAAGCCUAGACAGGUAAUUUAAAGAGCAAGGUCUCAAAAGAGGAAUUGCGGAUAACAAUCUUUAUAUCAAGAAUGAAGGAGAUGAUUUGUUGAUUGUUGUGGUUUAUGUGGAUGAUAUCAAUUUUGGAGGUAGUAGUGACAAGACGUGCCAAGAGUUUGCCACAAAUAUUUAGGAGUUUGAAAUGUCAAUGCUUGGUGAGCUGUCCUUCUUUGCUCGUUGCAAAUUUCCCAACCAAAUAAGGGAAUAUUUAUUUCACAAACCAAGUAUAUUAAGGAGAUGUUGAAGAAAUUCAUGAUGGAUGACUACAAUCCUGUGAGCACUCCCAUGGUUAUAGGAUGCAAAUUAAGUAAGGAUGAUGGAUCUAUUGAGGAUAACCAAACUCUAUAUAGGUCCAUGAUUGUGAAAUUUAUUAUUGGUGGCACACUUUCAGGCAACAACAAAGGAAACUCAUGUGGAAGCUAUCAAACAAUAUUCAAAUAUCUAAAGGGCACUAUAGAUUUUAGGUUGUGGUAUCUACGAGGUGAAGAUUUCACGCUUAAGUUAUUACAAAUGCAAAUUGGGUUGGUAGUGUUAAGUUAAGUACUAGUGGAGGACCAUUCUUCCUUGGUAAUUGUUGGUAGGAAUAGAGUAGCUAAACAGACUUCUAGAAAUCAUGCCGCAUUGGACUUGCGAAGAGUAGUAAUUAGAAUAUAGCAGAUAGAUUAGGGGUACUAAGCAUGGGCCACGUCCCAUCUAGUAGGUACAAACAUAUUGUAAGAUAGGAUCGCCAUUAAAAAGGUGAAUAUAAGGAAAUAUACCGAAGGCAUAGGGAAAAGAUAGAAUAUACCAAAGGACGAUAUACAAUGGAAUGCAUAUGAAUGCAUAAGGUGAUAUAAGGGUGUAUCCGAUAUAUGGAAUGAAUACAAUCAAUUACUUUUGGGACUCAAUCUAAUGUGUUAUGUGUGGUUGUCUAUUUUCCUUAAUAUGACGGUGUAAGGGGUAUUAGACUACAAAAUCAGAAACUCAUUGGGGUUCAAAACUUUGGUUUGUAUCCCCAGAUUUCUCCUCUUGUAGACUACAAAAUCAGAAACGCAUUGGGGUUCAAAACUUUGGUUUUUAUCCCCAGAUUUCUUGCUAACAUUGGUUUUGCAGUUGGGACCUUGGUUAGGUCUUAUUGAGAACAAUGGGGAAAGUUCUCAAAUUUAAACAUCACAAGAGGAUGGAAAUUAUGGCAAAGGUAAGGUUAGAGCACACCAGUGAGGGUGUUGUUGAGUGUGCCAAUGUGGGUGUUGUCGGAGAGAAGAAAGAUAGUGAGGGAAGGGAAGAAAAGACCCUUGAGAGUUAUAUUUAAUGACCAAAUAAGGGAAGAUGAUUACUAAAAACUUUGGAGAAAACUAUUCAAGGAUAUGGAAGAUCUAGGAGACUAGGGGGAUGUAGUACCACAAAGGCUCCUACCCUACCAUAGUCUCUCACAAACCCUAAAAACAAACCAGACUUGUCCACUAUUACAAUCAUUCUAGAUGACACAUUCAUGGAAUUUUCACAAACUUCGGAGAAGUUCUUUCCCUUAAAUGACAUAUAUUUGAAAGAAUUAGUUAAUAGAAGUAUAAGGAAAAUGAGAAAAGAGGGGAAAAGGCAAAGAAGAAAAAGUCAUGUUAACAAAGAAGGAAAAGCCAUGUCACUACAAACAAAACAAUGAAACGUUGCUGCAAGGAAUCACAACCCCCUGAACAAGAACAAUUCCCACAACCAUAUAAGAGUAGGAGAAUUUUGAUAGAAGAAAUAUUGUUGAUAAAAGAAGAAAAGAAAGAAGCAAAGGUGACAUAAAAGAGCACUUGGGAAGAAACUUUGGCAAAUGAAUUCAUUUUUAUAAAAUUAAAAUGAGAUAAGGGUAGAGAGGAGAAGCUUUGGAUAAUCCAAAUCAUCAAGAAAGAGAAAAAUCAAAGCCCUCAAAUUCCAAGAUCCAAACCAGAAAAGAAAUAACAUAGGAUGGAAGCCUUAAUUAAGAUGCUUGUUUUUGGCCAAGACACUAUUGAAGCUGGAGAACAUGUGUUCCAAUUGGAAUCCCUAUGGGAGAGGAAAGGUGUGAAAGAAGACAAGGAGAGUGUUGGAUGCUAUUGAAGCAAGAGAACAUGUGUUCCUAUUGGAAUCCCUAUGGGAGAGGAAAGGUGUGAAAGAAGACAGGGAGAGUAUUGGAUUUUGUGUUUUGUUUAAGGAAAGAAGAGUUAGACAGGUAGUUUGGACAAAGUUAGGGAUGAUUUUCUAGUAAAAUUUGAUACUUAGGCUAUUAUAUCAAGAGAAAAAUGAUAGAAUUGGUGCAGAAGGAGAACGAGCCUAUUAAGACCUAAAACAAGAGGUUCACAGAAGUAUGCCACAAAUUGGAAUAACCAUUGUAAAAAAAUAUAAAAAAUUGAAUGCUUCACUUCCAAAUUACAGAAAGACAGUUUGGAUGGAAGAAUCCUCGACUCUUAUACAGACUCGAAUACCAUGGCCUACCAAAUAUAAGCCUAGCCUUGGAGGAAUCUGGAAAAAGUGGAAACUAAAGAAAAUUAUAGCCAAGGGUAAAAAAAAGAGAAAGUGAAAGAGAUAUGGUGUACAUAUUGUUCUCUAGAACAACAUAUUUGAAAUGACUGUCCUAAAGCACAAGGGGAAAGAACUGCUAUUUCAAUACAUGUGAAAGUCAAAACCAUUAAGGCUAAUGCAACAUUCUGUGCUAUUUGGUGCAAAUUGGAUACCCACUUGAUUGAAUGUUGUCCAUUUUACCAACCUCCAAUCCAAAAUUGAGGAACUCAUUGCCAUCAAGGAUGCGAUAGUCACAAUUGUAGUGCGGAUGAAAGCAUCGAUAUAGGAUACAAGUAGCCCCACUAAGAGAAAAUAGGAAUGCUUGUGCCAUGUAGAACAACUCAACAAUAUUGCAUUGAGGAUAGAUGACAAUACAACAAUAGAGGAGGUAGAGGCCAAGGAAGAAAUACCAAAAGGAGGAAUGAUGCUACAUGCUUAACUGUGGAAAGUGGGUCAUUAUGCAUCUAAAUGCUGGGAUUGGAACAAAAAAAGAUGUAUCGCUUCUACUGAGAUAAAGAUCCUGGUUUGUUUAAAUGUCAACAUACUAGGCAUUUCUUCCAAAAUGUUGGAACCCCAUUAGGGAGUAAUGACUUGUACAAAGGACCCUGAAUAAUCUAGAGAGUGUCAACACAAAGAGCAAUACAUUGCCAAAGGAUGGACAUAUGGUCCUUCAAUACAUCCAACAAAGAAUACUCUAGAGAGGAACAAGUAAUGGAAACAAAGAAGAAGAAGACCAAACCCAAGAAGGAAGCCAUUUUCCUCACCAGACAAGGAACUAACAUUGAGAGAAAUAGACAUAAGGAGGUUACAGAAGAAUAUGAGCCCUCUAGUUUGGGAGGAAGGACGAGCUCUUUCGAUCUACUAGCAAUCAACAAUAAAAAAUAAUGCACAAAGCUAAACAACAUAUCAUACAACAAGAAGAAGAUUAAAGAUGUUGAUGGAUUUGGUCUCCCUAGCAUCAACAAAAGACUUAGUAGUAAAAUUGAAAUAGUUGGGGAAGUAUUGGAACAAACGAAAUUAGCAACAAAUUAAUGAACUGUCUAAGGAACAUAAUUGGAAGAAUGGUCCUUUGCUCAUCAUUGUACAUUUAAAUGACAAUAUGUAAUAUGUAAUAGUAGAUUUGGUGCAAACUUGAACAUCAUUUCGACUAUCACCUAGGACAAGCUUGGUAGACCUACACUUGUCUAAACACCCAUAAAUAUAAGCCUAGUUGAUGGAUCCAUUAUGGAGACGCUAAGGACCAUAAUUGGAAGAAUAGUCCUUUGCUCAUCAAUGUACAUUUAAAUGAUAAUAUGGAAUAUGUAAUCGUAGAUCUGGUGCAAACUUGAACAUCAUUUUGACUGUAUGCCUAGCUUUCUGCUUUUUAAAAUCAUUACCAAUGAAGGAGAAUAUUGUUUGGGAUGAGAACUUAUCCAUAGGGAAGCAAAAAGCCCACUUGGAUUUGUAAGGGUAAUGGAACAGAAGUCCCAAAUUUUUCUUAAGCAUUUAACCAUGAAGAGCUGAUAGAUUGGGUAGGUGUGUUGGGAGGCCAUUUUGAUGUGGAAGAAAUUUAAGACCCAUCGAUAGUAAAUUUGGCAUAGACAAAACUCAAAGGGCAUGUUGCACUUUGGUGGAGGAAUUGCAUGCAGGGGUUGAUAUUAUGCUCUAAUACCAUGUAGAAGCCAACGUUCAACUAUAGGAGCCAAGAAUCGUCUACAAGCAAAACACUUGUCGCACAAAAGAGAUCAAGCACAGAAUGUAUGCUACAUAACAAGCAAAGAAUUUUGGAUUAUUGCACAAAGAAUGAUUUAAGAUAACAUUGGAGGUACAAUUACAAUGAAUGAAUGAAUCCUUAUAUUGGAGGUAAAUUUCCGACGACAAUUGGAGGUACAAUUUCAAUGAAUGAAUGAAUCCUUAUAAAAGAUGAAUGAAACCCUAGGUGCAAACCCUGAUGUUAAUAUUAGAACUAAAGCAAAAUAACGCCCUGUUGCACUAAAUCAAUGGGAUCUAUGCAUUAGUCAAUUUCAAUUUUAAUAUUAGAACUAAAGCAAAAUAACGCCCCGUUGCACUAAAUCAAUGGGAUGUAUGCAUUAGUCAAUUCCAAUUUGAUAAGGCACAACAUAAGAUGAGGAUGAUUGAGAUGGGAUCUCAAUGUUAGGAGUAGGAACAUGAAGAUAGGCGUUCGUUCCAACCGAACAUAUAAUACCUUUGAUAUACUCAAGCUACUCUUUAGUAUCGCCAUCAAAGGGUAUGAAAUCUGCAUGUGCAAGGGGAAGAAGACAAUAUGUUUCUUGUUUAGAUAUUUGGACUGAAUUUCCAAUGAUAAUUGAUGAAGAUUUGGUCAAGAUUGUAUAGUGAAGAAUUCAUGAUAGCUUUAAUGGCUAUUACUGGUUUUUGUUCGAAUGGAACUGUGCUUGUGAAGAGGUCAGUAGGAAACAAAGAAGUUUAAGCUUUGAUAGACGUAAUUGGAGAUCAAAGAGCUCUAUAAAUUGACACCAUUACAAACCCUUUGGUAAGAUAUGUUGCUAUGGGUAUAAUAUUUACCUUCGAAACAAAGAAGGUUCUACAAUAGCUAUUUCAGUAUAUGUUGCUUAUCAUAUGGCUAAGACAUCAAUGAACUAUAAUUUGUGUUGAGCAAUCUUGAUUGACUAAGAAUGAUGGUUAUCCUUUUCAUUUGAGAUCAUUGAUUGUAUGCCUAGCUUUCUACUUUUUAAAUUCAUUACCAAUCAAGGAGAAUAUUGCUCGGGAUGAGAACUUACCCAUAGGGAAGCAAAAAUGCCACUGGAUUUGUAAGGGUAAUGGAACAAAAGUCGCAAUUUUUUCUUAAGCAUUUAACCAUGAAGAGUUGAUAGAUUGGGUAGAUGUGUUGGAAGGCCAUUUUGAUGUGGAAGAAAUUUAUGACCCAUCGAGAGUAAAUUUGGCAUAGACAAAACAAAAAGGACAUGUUGCACUUCGGUCGAGGAACUGCAUGUUGGAGUUGAUAUUAUGUUCUAACACCAUGUAGAAGCCAAUGAUCAACUAUAGGAUCCAAGAAUCAUCUGCAAGCAAAACACUUGUCGCACAAAAGAGAUAAAGCAAAGAUUGUAUGCUACAUAAGAACGAAAGAAUGAUUUAAGAUAUAAUAUUGGAGUCACAAUUACAAUGAAUGAAUGAAUCCUUGUAAAUGAUGAAUGAAACCCUAGGUGCAAACCUUGAUGUUAAAAUUAGAACUAUAGCAAAAUAACACCCUAUUGCACUAAAUAAAUGGGAUCUAUGCACGAGUCAAUGCCAGUUUGAUAAGGCACAACAUAAGAUGAGGAUGAUCAAGAUCGGAUCUCAAUGUGAGGAGUAGGAACACAAAGAUAGGCGUUCGAUCCAACGGAACAUAUAAUACCUUUGAUAUACUCAAGCUCCUCUUUAGUAUUGUCUUCAAAGGGUAUAAAAUCUGCAUGUGCAAGGGGAAGAAGACAAUAUGUUGCAGGUUUGGAUAUUUAGAGUGAAAUUCCGAUGAUAAUUGAUGAAUCAUUGGUCAAGAUUGUAUAAAGAAGAAUUCGUGAUAUCUUUAAAGGCUAAUACUGGUUUUUGUUCGGAUGCAACCGUGCCUUCAGUAGGAAACAAAGAAGUUUAAGCUUUGACAGGUGUAAUUGGAGAUCAAAGAACUCUAUGAAUUGACACCAUUACAAACCCUUUUGUAAGAUAUGUUGCUAUGGGUAUAAUAUUUACUUUCGAAACAAAGAAGGGUCUACAAUUGCUAUUUCAGUGUAUGUUGCUUAUCAUAUGGCUAAGACACGAACGAACUAUGAUUUGUGCUGAGCGAUGUUGAUUGACUAAGAAUGAUGGUUGUCCUUUUCAAUUCGGCAAAUUGAUUGUAUGCCUAGCUUUCUACUUUUUAAAUUCAUUACCAAUGAAGGAGAAUAUUGCUUGGGAUGGGAACUUACCCAUAGGGAAGCAAAUAUGCCACUUGGAUUUGUAAGGGUAAUGGAACAGAAGUCCCAAAUUUUUUCUAAGCAUUUAACCACAAAGAGUUGAUAGAUUGGGUAGAUGGGUUGGAAGGCCAUUUUAAUGUGGAAGAAAUUUAUGACCCAUCGAGAGUGAAUUUGGCAUAGACAAAACUCAAAGGACAUGUUGCACUUUGGUGGAGGAAUUGCAUGUAGGAGCUGAUAUUACGCUCUAAUACCAUGUAGAAGCCAAUGAUAAACUAUAGGAGCCAAAAAUCAUCUGCAAGCAAAACACCUGUCGCACAAAAGAGAUUCAGCAAAUAAUUUUGAAUUAUUGCACAAAGAAUGAUUUAAGAUAUAAUAUUGGAGGUACAAUUACAAUGAAUGAACGAAUCCUUAUAAAAGAUGAAUGAAACCCUAGGUGCAAACCCUUAUGUUAAAAUUAGUACUAAAGCAAAAUAAAGCCUUGUUGCACUAAAUUAAUGGGAUUUAUGCAUGAGUCAAUGCCAAUUUGAUAAGGCACAACAUAAGGUGAGGAUGAUUGAGAUGGGAUCUCAAUGUGAGGAGUAGGAACAGGAAGAUAGGUGUUCGAUCCAACGGAACAUGCAAUACCUUUGAUAUACUCAAGCUCCUCUUUAGUAUCGCUAUCAAAGGGUAUGAAAUCUGCAUGUGCAAGGGUAAGAAAACAAUAUGUUUUUUAGGUUUGGAUAAUUCAAGUGAAUUUCCGAUGAUAAUUGAUGAAGAAUUGCUGAAGAUUGUAUAAAGAAGAAACCAUGAUAGCUUUAAAGGCCAUUACUGGUUUUUGUUCGGAUGGAACCGUGCCUGUGAAGAGGUCAGUAGGAAACAAAGAAGUUUAAGCUUUGAUAGGCGUAAUUGGAGAUCAAAGAGCUCUUGAUGAAGAAUUGCUGAAGAUUGUAUAAAGAAGAAAUCAUGAUAGCUUUAAAGGCCAUUACUGGUUUUUGUUCGGAUGGAACCGUGCGUGUGAAGAGGUCAGUAGGAAACAAAGAAGUUUAAGCUUUGAUAGGCGUAAUUGGAGAUCAAAGACCUCUAUGAAUUGACAACAUUACAAAACCUCUGGAAAGAUAUGUUGCUAUGGGUAUAAUAUUUUCCUUCGAAACAAAGAAGGUUCUACAAUUGCUAUUUCAGUGUAUGUCACUUAUCAUAUGGCUAAGACAUGAAUGAACUAUGAUUUGUGCUGAGCAAUCUUGAUUGACUAAGAAUGAUUGUUAUCCUUUUCAUUUCGGAUCAUUUAUUGUAUGCUUAGCUUUAUACUUUUUAAAUUCAUUACCAAUGAAGGAGAAUAUUGCUUGGGAUAAGAACUUACCCAUAGGGAAGCAAAAAUGCCACUUGGAUUUGUAAGGGUAAUGGAACAGAAGUCCCAAUUUUUUCUUAAUCAUAAAACCAUGAAUAGCUAAUAGAUUGGGUAGAUGUGUUAGAAGGCCAUUUUGAUGUGGAAGAAAUUUAUGACUCAUCGAGAGUAAAUUUGGCAUAUACAAAACUCAAAGGACAUGUUGUACUUUGGUGGAGGAAUUACAUGUAGGAGCUGAUAUUAUGUUCUAAUACCAUGUAGAAGCCAAUGAUCAACUAUAGGAUCCAAGAAUCAUCUUCAAGCAAAAACCUGUUGCACAAAAGAGAUCAAGCAAACAUUGUAUGCUACAUAACAACCAAAGCAGUUUAGAUUAUUGCUCAAAGAAUGAUUUAAGAUAUAAUAUUGGAGGUACAAUUACAAUGAAUAGAAUGAAACCCUAGGUGCAAACCUUGAUUUUAAAAUUAGAACUAAAGCAAAAUAACGCCCUGUUGCACUAAAUCAAUGGGAUCUAUGCAUAUGAGUCCAUGCCAAUUUGAUAAGGCACAACAUAAGAUGAGGAUGAUUGAGAUGGGAUCUCAAUGUGAGGAGUAGGAACACAAAGAUAGGUGUUGGAUCAAACAAAACAAAUGAUACCUUUGAUAUGCUCAAGCUACUGUUUAGUAUCGUCAUCAAUGGGUAUGAAAUCUGCAUGUGCAAGGGGAAGAAUACAAAAUGUUGCAGGUUUGGAUAUUUGGAGUGAAUUUCUGAUGAUAAUUGAUGAAGAAUUGGUCAAGAUUGUAUAAAGAAGAAUUCAUGAUAGCUUUAAUGGCUAUUACUGGUUUUUGUUCCGAUGGAACCAUGCCUGUGAAGAGGUUAGUAGGAAAGAAAGAAGUUUAAGCUUUGAUAGGCGUAAUUGGAGACCAAAGAGCUCUAUAAAUUGUCACCAGUACAAACCCUCUGGUAAGAUAUGUUGCUAUGGGUAUAAUAUUUACCUUCGAAACCAAGAAGGUUCUGCAAUUGCUAUUUCAGUGUAUGUUGCUUAUCAUAUGGCUAAGACAUGAAUGAACUAUGAUUUGUGCUGAGCAAUCUUGAUUGACUAAGAAUGAUGGUUAUCCUUUUCAUUUCGGAUCAUUCAUUGUAUGCCUAGCUUUCUACUUAUUAAAUUCAUUACCAAUGAAGAAGAAUAUUGCUAGGGAUGAGAACUUACCCAUAGGGAAGCAAAAAUGCCACUUGGAUUUGUAAGGGUAAUGGAAGAGAAGUCCCAAAUUUUUUUUAAGCUUUUAACCAUGAAGAGCUGAUGGAUUUGGUAGAUGUGUUGGAAGGCCAUUUUGAUGUGGAAUAAAUUUAUGUCCCAUCGAGAGUGAAUUUGGCUUAGACUAAACUUAAAGGACAUGUUGCACUUUGGUGGAGGGAAUUGCAUGUAGGAGCUGAUAUUACGCUCUAAUACCAUGUAGAGGCCAAUGAUCAACUAUAGUAGCCAAGAAUUAUUUGCAAGCAAUACGCCUGUGGCACAAAGGAGAUCAAGCAAAGAUUGUAUGCUACAUAACAACCAAAGAAUUUUGGAUUAUUGCACAAUGAAUGAUUUAAGAUAUAAUAUUGGAGGUACAAUUACAAUGAAUGAAUGAAUCCUUGUAAAAGAUGAAUGAAACCCUAGGUGCUAAACCCUUUAUGUUAAAAUUAGAACUAAAGCAAAAUAACGCCUUGUUGCACUAAAUCAAUGGGAUCUAUGCAUGAGUCGAUGCCAAUUUGAUAAGGCACAACAUAAGAUGAGGAUGAUUGAGAUGGGAACUCAAUGUGAGGUGUAGGAACAAGAAGAUAGGUGUUUGAUCCAACGGAACAUUCAAUAUCUUUGAUAUACUCAAGCUCCUCUCUAUUAUCGUCAUCAAAGGGUAUGAAAUCUGCGUGUGCAAGGGGAAGAAGACAGUAUGUUGCAGGUUUGGAUAUUUGGAGUAAAUUUCUAACGAUAAUUGAUGAAGAAUUGGUCAAGAUUGUAUAAAGAAGAAAUUAUGAUAGCUUUAAAGGCUAUUACUGGUUUUUCUAUCGGAUGUAACCGUGCCUUUGAAGAGGUUAGUAGGAAACAAAGAAGUUUAAGCUUUGAUAGGCGUAAUUGCCAAUUGGAGAUCAAAGAGCUCAAUGAAUUGACACCAUUACAAACCCUUUAGUAAGAUAUGUUGUUGAGCAAUCUUGAUUGACUAAGAAUGAUGGUUAUCAUUUUUAUUUCGGUUCAUUUAUUGUAUGCCUAGCUUUCUACUUUUUAAAUUCAUUACCAAUGAAGGAGAAUAUUGCUUGGGAUGAGAACUUACCCAUAGGGAAGCAAAAAUGCGACUUGGAUUUGUAAGGGUCAUGGAAGAGAAGUACCAAAUUUUUCUUAAUCAUUUAACCAUGAAUAGCUGAUAGAUUGGGUGGAUGUGUUGGAAGGCCAUUUUGAUGUGGAAGAAAUUUAGGACCCAUCGAGAGUAAAUUUGGCAUAGACAAAACUCAAAGGACAUGUUGCACUUUGGUGGAGGAAUUGCAUUUAGGAGCUGAUAUUAUGUUCUAAUACCAUGUAGAAGCCAAUGAUCAACUAUAGGAUCCAGGAAUCAUGUGCAAACAAAACUCGUGUCGCACAAAAGAGAUCAAGCAAAGAUUGCGAGCUACAUAACAACAAAAGAAUUUUGGAUUAAUGCACAAAGAAUGAUUUAAGAUAUAAUAUUGAAGGUACAAUUACAAUGAAUGGCUGAAUCCUUAUAAAAGAUGAAUGAAACCCUAGGUGCAAACCCUGAUGUUAAAAUUAGAACUGAAGCAAAAUAACGUCCGGUUGAAAUAAAUCUAUGGGAUCUAUGAACGAGUCGAUGCCAAUUUGAUAAGGCACAACAUAAGAUGAAGAUGAUUGAGAUGGGAUCUAAAUUUGAAGAGUAGGAACACGAAGAUAGGCGUUCAAUCCAACGGAACAUAUAAUACCUUUGAUAUACUCAAGCUCUUGUUUAGUAUCGUCACCAAAGGGUAUGAAAUCUUAAUGUGCAAGGGGAAGAAGAUAACAUGUUGGAGGUUUGGAUAUUUGGAGUGAAUUUUCGAUGAUAAUUGAUGAAGAAUUGGUCAAGAUUGUAUAAAGAAGAAUUCAUGAUAUCUUUAAUGGCUCUUACUGGUUUUUGUUCGGAUGGAACUGUGCUUGUGAAGAGGUCAGUAGGAAACAAAGAAGUUAAAGCGUUGAUAGGCGUAAUUGGUGAUCAAAGAGCUCUAUAAAUUGACAUCAUUACAAACCCUAUGAUAAGAUUUGUUGUUAUUGGUAUAAUAUUUACCUUCGAAACAAAGAAGGUUCUACAAUUGCUAUUUCAGUGUAUGUUGCGAAUCAUAUGGCUAACACAUGAAUGAACUAUAAUUUCUGCUAAGCAAUCUUGAUUGACUAAGAAUGAUGGUUAUCCUUUUCAUUUGGUAUCAUUUAAUGUAUGCAUAGCUUUCUACUUUUUAAAUUUAUUACCAAUGAAGGAUAAUAUUGCUAGGGAUGAGAACUUACCCAUAGGGAAGCAAAAGUGCCACUUAGAUUUUGUAAGGGUAAUGGAACAAAAGUCCCAGUUUUUUCUUUUGUAUUUAACCAUGAAGAGCUGAUAGAUUGGGUGGAUGUGUUGGAAGGCCAUUUUGUUGUGGAAGAAAUUUAUGACCCAUCGAGAGUAAAUUUGGCAUAGACAAACCUCAGAGGACAUGUUGCACUUUGGUUGAGGAAUUUCAUGUAGGAGCUGAUAUGAUGUUCUAAUACCAUGUAGAAGCCAAUGAUCAACUAUAGGAUCCAAGAAUCAUCUGUAAGCAAAACACCUGUCGCACAAAAGAGAUCAAGCAAAGAUUGUAUGCUACAUAAGAAAGAAAGAAUUUUGGAUUAUUGCUCAAAGAAUGAUUUAAGAUAUAAUAUUGGAGGUACAAUUACAAUGAAUGAAUGAAUCCUUGUAAAAGAUGAAUGAAACCAUAGGUGCAAACCAUGAUGUUAAAAUUAGAACUAUAGCAAAAUAAUGCCCUGUUGUAAUAAAUAAAUGGGAUCUAUGCAUGAGUCAAUGCCAAUUUGAUAAGGCACAACAUAAGAUGAGGAUGAUUGAGAUGGCAUCUCAAUGUGAGGAGUAGGAACUCGAAGAUAGGCGUUCGAUCCAACGGAACAUAUAAUACCUUUGAUAUACUCAAGCUCCUCUUUAGUAUCGUCAUCAAAGGGUAUGAAAUCUGCAUGUGCAAAGGGAAGAACACAAUAUGUUGCAUGGUAGGAUAUUUGUAGCGAAUUUCCAAUAAUAAUUGAUGAAUCAUUGCUCAAUAUUGUAUAAAGAAGAAUUCAUGAUAUCUUUAAAGGCUAAUACUGGUUUUUGUUCGAAUGGAACCGUGCCUCUUAAGAGGUGAACAAGAAACAAAGAAGUUUAAGCUUUGACAGGCAUAAUUGGAGAUCAAAGAGCUCGAUGAAUUGAAACCAUUACAAACCCUCUGGGAAGAUAUGUUGGUAUGGGUAUAAUAUUUACUUUAAAAACAAAGAAGGUUCUACAAUUGCUAUUUUAGUGUAUGUUGCUUAUCAUAUGGCUAAGACAUGAAUGAACUAUGAUUUGUGCUGAGCGAUCUUGAUUGACUAAGAAUGAUGGUUAUCCUAUCCAUUUUGGAUCAUUGAUUGUAUGCCUAGCUUUCUACUUUUUAAAUUCAUUACCAAUGAAGGAGAAUAUUGCUUGGGAUGAGAACUUACCCAUAGGGAAGCAAAUAUGUUGCUUGGAUUUGUAAGGGUAAUGGACAAGAAGUCCCAAAUUUUUCUUAAGCAUUUAACCAUGAAGAGUUGAUAGAUUGGCUAGGUGUGUUGGAAGGCCAUCUUGAUCUAGAAGAAAUUUAUGACCCAUCAAGAGUAAAUUUGGCAUAGACAAAACUCAAAGGACAUGUUGCACUUUGGUGGAGGACUUGCAUGUAGGAGCUGAUAUUAUGAUCUAAUACCAUGUAGAAGCCAAUGCUCAACUAUAGAAGCCAAGAAUCAUUUGCAAGCAAAACACCUGUCGCACAAAAGAGAUCAAGCAAAGAAUGAAUGCUACAUAACAGGCAAAGAAUUUUGGAUUAUUGCACAAAGAUUGAAUUAAGAUAUAAUAUUGGAGGUACAAUUACAAUGAAUGAAUGAAUCCUUAUAAAAGAUGAAUGAAACCCUAGGUGCAAACCCUGAUGUUAAAAUUAGAACUAAAGAAAAAAAACGCCUUGUUGCACUAAAUCAAUGGGAUCUAUGCAUGAGUCAAUGCCAAUUUGAUAAGGCACAACAUAAGAUGAGGAUGAUUGAGGUGGGAUCUCAAUGUGAGGAGUAGGAACAUGAAGAUAGGUGUUCGAUCCAACGAAACAUGCAAUACCUUUGAUAUACUCAAGCUCCUCUUUAGUAUCGUCAUCAAAGGGUAUGAAAUCUGCAUGUCCAAACGGAAGAAGACUAUGUUUUUAGGUUUGGAUAACUCAAGUGAAUUUCUGACGAUAAUUGAUGAAGAAUUGGUGAAGAUUGUAUAAAGAAGAAAUCAUGAUAGCUUUAAAGGCCAUUAGUGGUUUUUGUUAGGAUGGAAGCAUGCCUGUGAAGAGUUCAGCAGGAAACAAAGAAGAUUAAGCUUCGAUAGGCGUAAUUCGAAAUCGAAGAGCUCUAUGAAUUGACAACAUUACAAAACGUCUGGAAAGAUAUGUUGCUAUUGGUAUAAUAUUUACCUUCGAAACAAAGAAGGUUCUACAAUUGCUAUUUCAGUGUAUAUUGCUUAUCAUAUGGCUAAGACAUGAAUGAACUAUGAUUUGUGCUGAGCAAUCUUGAUUGACUAAGAAUGAUGGUUAUCCUUUUCAUUUCAGAUCAUUUAUCUUAGCUUUCUACUUUUUAAAUUCAUUACCAAUGAAGGAGAAUAUUGCUUGGGAUGAGAACUUACCCAUAGGGAAGCAAAAAUGCCACUCGGAUUUGUAAGGUUAAUGGAACAGAAGUCCCAAAUUAUUCUUAAUCAUUUAACCAUGAAUAGCUGAUAGAUUGGGUAGAUGUGUUGAAAGGUCAUUUUGAUGUGGAAGAAAUUUAUGACCCAUCGAGAGUAAAUUUGGCAUAGACAAAACUCAAAGGACAUGUUGCACUUUGGUGGAGGGAUUGCAUGUAGGAGUUGAUAUUACGUUCUAAUACCAUGUAGAAGCCAAUGAUCAACUAUAGGAUCCAAUCAUUUGCAAGCAAAAUCGUGUCGCACAAAAUAGAUCAAGCAAACAUUGUAUGCUACAUAACAACCAAAGAAUUUUGAAUUAUUGCUCAAAGAAUGGUUUAAGAUAUAAUAUUGGAGGUACAAUUACAAUGAAUGAAUGAAACCCUAGGUGUAAACCCUGAUGUUAAAAUUAGAACUAUAGCAAAAUAACGCCUUGUUGCACUAAAUCAAUGGGAUAUAUGCAUAUGAGUCCAUGCCAAUUUGAUAAGGCACAACAUAAGAUGAGGAUGAUUGAAAUGGGAUCUCAAUGUGAGGAGUAGGAACAUGAAGAUAGGUGCUCGAUCAAAUGGAACAUAUAAUACCUUUGAUAUAUUCAAGCUCCUCUUUAGUAUCUUCAUCAAAGGAUAUGAAAUCUGCAGGUGCAAGGGGAAGAAGUCAAUAUGUUGCAGGUUUGGAUAUUUGGAGUGAAUUUUUGAUGAUAAUUGAUGAAGAAUUGGUCAAGAUUUUAUAAAGAAGAAUUCCUGAUAGCUUUAAUGGUUAUUACUGGUUUUUGUUCGAAUGGAACUGUGCUUGCGAAGAGGUUAGUAGGAAACAAAGAAGUUUAAGCAUUGAUAGGCGUAAUUGAAGAUCAGAGAGCUCUUUAAAUUGUCACUAUUACAAACCCUCUGGUAAGAUAUGUUGCUAUGGGUAUAAUAUUUACCUUCGAAACCAAGAAGGUUCUACAAUUGCUAUUUUAGUGUAUGUUGCUUAUCAUAUGGCUAAGACAUGAAUGAACUAUGAUUUGUGCUGAGCAAUCUUGAUUGACUAAGAAUGAUGGUUAUCCUUUUCAUUUUGGAUCAUUUAUUGUAUGCCUAGCUUUCUACUUAUUAAAUUCUUUACCACUGAAGGAGAAUAUUGCUAGGGAUGAGAACUUACCCAUAGGGAAGCAAAAAUGCCACUUGGAUUUUUAAGGGUAAAGGAACAGAAGUCCCAAAUUUUUCUUAAGCAUUUAAGCAUGAAGAGCUGAUAGAUUUGGUAGAUGUGUUGGAAGGUCAUUUUGAUGUGGAAGAAAUUUAUGACCCAUCGAGAGUGAAUUUGGCAUAGACAAAACUCAGAGGAUAUGUUGGACUUUGGUGGAGGAAUUGUAUGUAGGAGCUGAUAUUACGCUCUAAUACCAUGAAGAAGCUAAUGAUCAACUAUAGGAGCCAGGAAUUAUCUUCAAGCAAUAUACCUGUGCCACAAAGGAGAUCAAGCAAAGAUUGUAUGCUACAUAACAACCAAAGAAUUUUGGAUUAUUGCACAAAGAGUGAUUUAAGAUAAGAGUGAUUUAAGAUAUAAUAUUGGAGGUACAAUUACAAUGAAUGAAUGAUUCCUUGUAAAAGAUGAAUGAAACCCUAGGUGCAAACCUUGAUGUUAAAAUUAGAACUAUAGCAAAAUAACUUCCUGUUGCACUAAAUAAAUGGGAUCUAUGCAUGAGUCAAUGCCAAUUUGAUAAGGCACAACAUAAGAUGAGGAUGAUUGAGAUCGGAUCUCAAUGUGAGCAGUAGGAACAUGAAGAUAGGCGUUCGAUCCAAUGUAACAUAUAAUACCUUUGAUAUACUCAAGCUCCUCUUUAGUAUCGUCAAUAAAGGGUAUAAAAUCUGCAUGUGCAAGGGGAAGAAGACAAUAUGUUGCAGGUUUGGAUAUUUGGAGUGAAUUUCCGAUGAUAAUUGAUCAACCAUUGGUCAAGAUUGUAUAAAGAAGAAUUCAUGAUAUCUUUAAAGGCUAUUAGUAUUUUUUGUGCGAAUGGAACUGUGCUUGUGAAGAGGUCAGUAGGAAACAAAGAAUUUGAAGCUUUGAUAGGAGUAAUUGGAGAUCAAAGAGCUCUAUGAUUUGACACAAUUACAAACCCUUUGGUAAGAUAUGGUGCUAUGGGUAUAAUGUUUACCUUCGAAACAAAGUAGUUCCUACAAUUGCUAUUUCAGUGUAUGUUGCUUAUCAUAUGGCUAAGACAUGAAUGAACUAUGAUUUGUGUUGAGCAAUCUUGAUUGAUUAAGAAUGAUGGUUAUCCUUUUCAUUUCGGAUCAUUGAUUGUAUGCGUAGCUUUCUACUUUUUAAAUUCAUUACCAAUGAAGGAGAAUAUUGCUUGGGAUGAGAACUUACCCAUAGGGAAGCAAAUAUGCCACUUGGAUUUGUAAGGGUAAUGGAACAAAAGUCCUAAAUGUUUCUUAAGCAUUUAACCAUGAAGAGUUGAUAGAUUGGGUAGAUGUGUUCGAAGGCCCUUUUGAUGUGGAAGAAAUUUAUGACCCUUCGAGAGUAAAUUUGGCAUAGACAAAACUUAAAGGACGUGUUGCACUUUGGUGGAGGAAUUGCAUGUAGGAGCUCAUAUGACGCUCUAAUACCAUGUAGAAACCAAUGAUCAACUAUAGGAGCCAAGAAUCAUCUGCAAGCAAAACACUUGUAGCAAAAAAGAGAUCAAGCAAAGAAUUUUGGCUUAUUGCACAAAGAAUGAUUUAAGAUAUACUAUUGGAGGUACAAUUACAAUGAAUGAAUGAAUGAAUCCUCAUAAAAGAUUAAUGAAACCCUAGGUGCAAACCCUGAUGUUAAAAUUAGAACAAAAGCAAAAUAACACCCUAUUGCACUAAAUCAAUGCUAUCUAUGCAUGAGUCAAUGCCAAUUUGAUAAGGCACAACAUAGGAAUAGGAUGAUUGAGAUUGGAUCUCAAUGUGAGGAGUAGGAAUAGGGAAAUAGGUGUUCGAUCCAAUAGAAUAUGCAGUACCUUUGAUAUACUCAAGCUCCUGUUCAGUAUCAUCAUCAAAGGGUAUGAAAUGUGCACAUGCAAGGGGAGGAAGACAAUAUGUUGCAUGUUUGGAUAUUUUUAGUGAAUUUGGGACGAUAAUUCAUGAAGAAUUGAUCAAGAUUGUAUAGAGAAGAAAUUAUGAUAGCUUUAAAGGCUACUACAAACCCACUGGUAAGAUAUGCUGCUAUGGGUAUAAUAUUUAGCUUCUGAACAAAGAAGGUUCUACAAUUGCCAAUGAAGGAGAAUAUUGCUCAGGGUGAGAACUUACGCAUAGGGAAGCAAAAAUGCCACUUGGAUUUGUAAGGGUAAUCUAACAUAAGUCCCAAUUUUUUCUUAAUCAUUUAGCAAUGAAUAGUUGAUAGAUUGGGUAGAUGUGUUGGAAGGCCAUUUUGAUAUGGAAGAAACUUAUGACCCAUCGAGAGUAAAUUUGGCAUAGACAAAACUCAAAGGACAUGUUGUAGUUUGGUGGAGGAAUUACACAAGUAGGAGUUGAUAUUACAUUCUAAUACCAUGUAGAAGCCAAUGAUCAACUAUAGGAUCCAAGAAUCAUCUGCAAUCAAAACUCGUGUCACACAAAAGAUAUCAAGCAAAGAUUGUAUGCUACAUAACAACCAAAGAAUUUUGGAUUAUUGCACAAAGAAUGAUUUAAGAUAUGAUAUUGAAGGUACAAUUACAAUGAAUGACUGAAUCCUUAUAAAAGAUCAAUGCAACCGUAGGUGCAAACGCUGAUGUUAAAAUUAGAACUAGAGCAAAAUCGCGCCCUGUUGCACUAAAUCAAUGGGAUCUAUGCAUGAGUCGAUGCCAAUUUGAUAGGCACAACAUAAGAUGAGGAUGAUUGAGAUGGGAUCUCAAUGUGAGGAGUAGGAACAUGUAGAUAGGCGUUCGAUCCAACGGAACAUAUAAUACCUUGAUAUACUCAAGCUCCUAUUUAGUAUCGCCAUUAAAGGCUAUGAAAUCUGCAUGUGCAAGGGGAAGAAGACAAUAUGUUGCAGGUUUGGAUAUUUGGAGUGAAUUUCCGAUGAUAAUUGAUGAAGAAUUGGUCAAGAUUGUAUAGUGAAGAAUUCAUGAUAGCUUUAAUGGCUAUUACUGAUUUUUGUUCGAAUGGAACGGUGCGUGUGAAGAGGUCAGUAGGAAACAAAGAAAUUUAAGCUUUGAUAGGCCUAAUUGGAGAUCAAAGAGCUCUAUAAAUUGACAACAUUAGAAACCCUCUGAUAAGAUAUGUUGCUAUGGGUAUAAUAUUUACCUUCGUAACAAAGAAGGUUCUACAAUUUCUAUUUCAGUGUAUGUUGCUUAUCAUAUGGCUAAGACAUGAAUGAACUAUAAUUUGUGCCGAGCAAUCUUGAUUGACUAAGAAUGAUGGUUAUCCUUUUCAUUUGGGAUCAUUUAUUGUAUACCUAGCUUUCUACUUUUUAAAUUCAUUACCAAUGGAGGAGAAUAUUGCUCGGGAGGACAACUUACCCAUAGGGAAGCAAAAAUGCCACUUUUAUUUGCAAGGGAAAUGGAACAAAAGUCGCAGUUUUUUCUUAAGCAUUUAACCAUGAAGAGCAGAUAGAUUGGGUAGAUGUGUUGGAAGGCCAUUUUGAUGUGGAAGAAAUUUAUGACCCAUCGAGAGUAAAUUUGGCAUAGACAAAACUCAAAGGACUUGUUGCACUUUGGUGGAGGAAUUGCAUGUAGGAGCUGAUAUUAUGUUCUAAUGCCAUGUAGAAGCCAAUGAUCAACUAUAAGAUCCAAGAAUCAUCUCCAAGCAAAACACCUGUCGCACAAAAGAGAUCAAGCAAAGAUUGUAUGCUACAUAAGAACGAAUGAAUUUUGGAUUAUUGCACAAAGAAUGAUUUCAGAUAUAAUAUUGGAGGUACAAUUACAGUGAAUGAAUGAAUCCUUGUAAAAGAUGAAUGAAACCCCAGGUGCAAACCCUGAUGUUAAAAUUAGAACUAUAGCAAAAUAACGUCCUGUUGCACUAAAUAAAUGGGAUCCAUGCAUGAGUCAAUGCGAAUUUGAUAAGGCACAACAUAAGAUGAGGAUGAUUGAGGUCGGAUCUCAAUGUGAGGAGUCUGAACACGAAGAUAGGCGUUCGAUCCAACGGAACAUAUAAUACCUUUGAUAUACUCAAUCGCCUGUUUAGUAUUGUCAUCAAAGGGUAUAAAAUCUGCAUGUGCAAGAGGAAGAAGACAAUAUGUUGCAGGUUUGGAUAUUUGGAGUGAAUUUCCGAUGAUAAUUGAUGAAUCAUUGGUCAAGAUUGUAUAAAGAAGAAUUCAUGAUAUCUUUAAAAAGGCUAUUACAGGUUUUUGUUCGUAUGGAACCAUGCCUGUGAAGAGGUCAGUAGGAAAGAAAGAAGUUUAAUCUUUGACAGGCGUAAUUGGACAUCAAAGAGCUCUAUGAAUUGACACCAUUACAAACCCUCUGGUAAGAUAUGCUGCUAUGGGUAUAAUAUUUACCUUCGAAACAAAGAAGUUUCUACAAUUGCUAUUUCAGUGUAUGUUGGUUAUCAUAUGGCUAAGACAUGAAUGAACUAUGAUUUGUGUUGAGCAAUCUUGAUUCACUAAGAAUGAUGGUUAUCCUUUUCAUUUCGGAUCAUUGAUUGUAUGCCUAGCUUUCUACUUUUUAAAUUCAUUACCAAUGAAGGAGAAUAUUGCUUGGGACGAGAACUUACCCAUAAGGAAGCAAAAAUGCCACUUGGAUUUGUAAGGUUAAUGGAAUAGCAGUCCCAAAUUUUUCUUGAUCAUUUAACCAUGAAUAGCUGAUAGAUUGGGUAGAUGUGUUAGAAGAUCAUUUUGAUGUGGCAGAAAUUUAUGACCCAUCGAGAGUAAAUUUGGCAUAGACAAAACUCAAAGGAUAUGUUGUACUUUGGUGGAGGAAUUGCAUGUAGGAGCUGAUAUUACGUUCUAAUACCAUGUAGAAGCCAAUGAUCAACAAUAGGAUCCAAGAAUCAUUUGCAAGCAAAACACCUGUCGCACAAAAGAGAUCAAGCAAAGAUUGUAUGCUACAUAACAACCAAAGAAUUUAGGAUUAUUGCACAAAGAAUGAUUUAAGAUAUAAUAUUGAAAGUACAAUCAUAAUGAAUGACUGAAUCCUUAUAAAAGAUGAAUGAAACUCUAGGUGCAAACCCCGAUGUUAAAAUUAGAACUAAAGCAAAAUAACGCCUUGUUGCACUAAAUCAAUGGGAUCUAUGCAUGAGUCAAUACCAAUUUUAUAAGGCACAACAUAAGAUGAGGAUAAUUGAGAUGGUAUCUCAAUGUGAGGAGUAGAAAUCUGCAUGUACAAGGGCAAGAAAACAAUAAGCUGCAAGUUUGGAUAUUUGGACUGAAUUUCCGAUGAUAAUUAAUGAAGAAUUGGUCAAGAUUGUAUAGUGAAGAAUUCAUGAUAGCUUUAAUGGCUAUUACUGGAUUUUGUUCAGAUGGAACCGUGCCUGUGAAGAAGUCAGUAGGAAACAAAGAAGGUUCUACAAUUGCUAUUUCAGUGUAUGUAGGUUAUCAUAUGGCUAAGACAUGAAUGAACUAUGAUUUGUGCUGAGCAAUCUUGAUUCACUAAGAAUGAUGGUUAUCCUUUUCAUUUUGGAUCAUUGAUUGUAUGCCUAGCUUUCUACUUUUUAAAUUCAUUACCAAUGAAGGAGAAUAUUGCUUGGGAUGAGAACUUACCCAUAGCAAAGCAAAAAUGCCACUUGGAUUUUUUAAGGGUAAUGGAACAGAAGUCCGUAAUUUUUCUUAAGCACUUAACCAUGAAGAGUUGAUAGAUUGGGUAAGUGUAUUGGAAGGCCAUCUUGAUGUGGAAGAAAUUUAUGACCCUUCCAGAGUAAAUUUGGCAUAGACAAAACUCAAAGGACAUGUUGCACUUUGGUGGAGGAAUUGCAUGUAGGAGCUGAUAUUAUGCUCUAAUACCAUGUAGAAGCCAAUGAUCAACUACAAGAACCAAGAAUCAUCUGCAAGCAAAACAACUGUCACACGAAAGAGAUCAAGGAAAGAUAGUAUGCUUCAUAACAACCAAAGAACUCUGGAUUAUUGCACAAAGAAUGAUUUAAGAUAUAAUAUUGGAGGUACAAUUACAAUGAAUGAAUGAAUCCUUAUAAAAGAUGAAUGAAACCCUAGGUGCAAACCCUGAUGUUAAGUUAGACCUAAAGCAAAAUGAUGCCUUGUUGCAAUAAAUCAAUGUGAUCUAUGCAUGAGUCAAUGCCAAUUUGAUAAGGCACAACAUAAGAUGAGGAUGAUUGAGAUGGGAUCUCAAUGUGAGGAUUAGGAACAGGAAGAUAGGUGUUCGAUCCAACGGAACAUGCAAUACCUCUGAUAUACUCAAGCUCCUCUUUAGUAUCGUCAUCAAAGAGUAUGAAAUCUGCAUGUGCAAGGGGAAGAAGACAAUAUGUCGAAGGUUUGGAUAUUUGGAGUUAAUUUCUGACGAUAAUUGAUGAAGAAUUGUUCAAGAUUGUAUAAAGAAGAAAUUAUCAUAGCUUUAAAGGCUAUUACUGGUUUUUGUUUGGAUGGAGCCGUGCCUGUGAAGAGGUCAGUAGGAAACAAAGAAGUUUAAGCUUUGAUAGCUGUAAUUGGAGAGCAAAGAGCUCUAUGAAUUGACACCAUUACAAACCCUAUGGUAAGAUAUGCUGCUAUUGGUAUGAUAUUUACCUUCGCAACAAAGAAGGUUCUACAAUUGCUUUUUCAGUGUAUGUUGUUUAUCAUAUUGCUAAGACAUGAAUUACCUAUGAUUUUUGCUGAGCAAUAUGACCUAUGAUUUGUGCUGAGCAAACUUGAUAGACAAAGAAUGAUGGUUAUCGUUUUCAUUUCGGAUCAUUUAUUGUAUGCCUAGCUCUCUACUAUUUAUAUUCAUUACCAAUGAAGGAGAAUAUUGCUCGUGAUGAGAACUUACCCAUAGGGAAGCGAAAAUGCCACUUGGAUUUAUAAGGGUAAUGGAACAAAAGUCCCAAUUUUUUCUUAAUCAUUUAACCAUCAAUAUUUAAUAGACUGGGUAGAUGUGUUGGAAGGCCAUUUUGAUGUGGAAGAAAUUUAUGAUCCAUCGAGUGUAAAUUUGGUAUACAUAAAACUCAAAGGACAUGUUGCACUUUGGUGAAGGAAUUACAUGUAGGAAUUGAUAUUACGUUCUAAUACCCUGUAGAAGCCAAUGAUCUACUAUAGGAUCCAAGAAGUAUGUGCAAGCAAAACACCUGUCGCACAAAAGAGAUCAAGCAAAGAUUGCAUGCUACAUAAGAACGAAAUAAUUUUGGAUUAUUGCACAAAGAAUGAUUUAAGAUAUAAUAUUGAGGGUACAAUUACAAUGAAUGACCGAAUCCUUAUAAAAGAUGAAUGAAACCCUAUGUGCAAACCUUGAUGUUAAAAUUAGAACUAAAGCAAAAUAACGCCUUGUUGCACUAAAUCAAUAGGAUCUUAGCAUGAGUCAAUGUCAAUUUGAUAAGGCACAACAUAAGAUGAGGAUGAUUGAGAUGGGAUCUCAAUGUGAGGAGUAGGAACACGAAGAUAGGCGUUUGUUCCAACAAAACAUAUAAUACCUUUGAUAUACUCAAGCUCCUCUUUAGUAUCGUCAUCAAAGGGUAUGAAAUAUGCAUGUGCAAGGGGAAGAAGACAAUAUGAUGCAGGUUUGGAUAUUUGGAGUGAAUUUGCGAUGAUAAUUGAUGCAGAAUUGGUCGAGAUUUUAUAAAGAAGAAUUCAUGAUAGCUUUAAUGGCUAUUAUUGGUUUUUGUUCGGAUGGAACCGUGCCUGUGAAGAGGUCAGUAGGAACCAAAGAAGUUUAAGCUUUGAUAGGCGUAACUAGAAAUCAAAGAGUUCUAUAAAUUGACACCAUUACAAACCCUCUGGUAAGAUAUGUUGCUAUGGGUAUAAUAUUUAUCUUAGAAACAAAGAAGGUUCUACAAUUGUUAUUUUAGUGUAUGUUGCUUAUCAUAUGGCUAAGACAUGAAUGAACUAUAAUUUGUGCUAAGCAAUCUUGAUUGACUAAAAAUGAUGGUUAUCCUUUUCAUUCGGGAUCAUUUAUUGUAUGCCUAGCUUUAUACUUUUUAAAUUCAUUACCAAUGAAGGAGAAUAUUGCUCAGGAUGAGAACUUAGCCAUAGCAAAGCAAAAAUGCCACUUGGAUUUGUAAGGGUAAUGGAACAAAAGUCCCAAUUUUUUCUUAAGCAUUUAACCAUGAAGAGUUGAUAGAUUGGGUAGAUGUGUUGGAAGGCCAUUUUGAUGUGGAAGAAAUUUAUGACCCAUCGAGAGUAAAUUUGGCAUAGACAAAACUUAAAGGACAUGUUGCACUUUGGUGGAGGAAUUGCAUGUAGGAGCUGAUAUUAUGUUCUAAUACUAUGUAGAAGCCAAUGAUCAAUUGUAAGAUCCAAGAAUCAUCUGCAAGCAAAACACCUGUCACAUAAAAGAGAACAAGCAAAGAUUGUAUGUUGCAUAAGAACGAAAGAAUUUUGGAUUAUUGCACAAAGAAUGAUUUAAGAUAUAAUAUUGGAGGUACAAUUACAAUGAAUGAAUGAAUCCUUGUAAAGAUGAAUGAAACCCUAGGUGCCAACCCUGAUGUUAAAAUUAGAACUAAAGCAAAAUAACGCCCUAUUGCACUAAAUCAAUGGGAUCUAUAAAUGAGUCAAUGCGAAUUUGAUAAGGCACAACAUAAGAUGAGGAUGCUUGAGAUGGGAUCUCAAUGUGGGGAGUAGGAACACGAAGAUGGGCGUUCGAUGCAAUGGAACAUAUAAUACCUUUGAUAUACUCAAGCUUCUCUUUCGUAUUGUCAUCAAAGGGUAUAAAAUCUGCAUGUGCAAGGGGAAGAAGACAACAUGUUGCAGGUUUGGAUAUUUGGAGUGAAUUUUCGAUGAUAAUUGAUGAAUCAUUGGUCAAGAUUGUAUAAAGAAGAAUUCAUGAUUAUCUUUAAUGGCUAUUAUUGGUUUUUGUUCGGAUGGAACCGUGCUUGUGAAGAGGUCAGUAGGAAACAAAGAAGUUAAAGUUUUGACAGGCAUAAUUGGAGAUCAAAAAGCUCUAUGAAUUAACACCAUUACAAACCCUCUAGUAAGAUAUGUUGUUAUGGGUAUAAUAUUUACCUUCGCAACAAAGAAGGUUCUACAAUUGCUAUUUCAGUGAAUGUUGCUCAUCAUAUGGCUAAUACAUGAAUGAACUAUGAUUUGUGUUGAGCAAUCUUGAUUGACUAAGAAUGAUGGUUAUCCUUUUCAUUUCGGAUCAUUGAUUGUAUGCCUAGCUUUCUACUUUUUAAAUUCAUUACCAAUGAAGGAGAAUAUUGCUUGGGAUGAGAACUUACCCAUAGGGAAGCGAAUAUGCCACUUGGAUUUGUAAGGGUAAUGGAACAAAAGUCCUAAAUGUUUCUUAAGUAUUUGACAAUGAAGAGUUGAUAGAUUGGGUAGAUGUGUUGGAAGGCCCUUUUGAUGUGGAAGAAAUUUAUGACCCAUCGAGAGUAAAUUUGGCAUAGACAAAACUCGAAGGACAUGUUGCACUUCGAAUGAUAUGUUGUUGAGCAAUCCUGAUUGACUAAGAAUGAUGGUUAUCUUUUUCAUUUUGGAUCAUUUAUUGUAUGCCUAGCUUUAUACUUUUUAAAUUCAUUACCAAUGAAGGAGAAUGUUGCUUGGGAUGAGAAGUUACCCAUAGGGAAGCAAAAAUGCGAGUUGGAUUUGGAAGGGUAAUGGAAGAGAUUCCCAAAUUUUUCUUAAUCAUUUAACCAUGAAUAACUGAUGGAUUGGGUAGAUGUGUUGGAAGGCGAUGUGGAAGAAAUUUAUGACCCAUCAAGAGUAAAUUUGGCAUAGACAAAACUCAAAGGACAUGUUGCACUUUGGUAGAGGAAUUGCAUGUAGGAGCUGAUAUUACCCUCUAAUACCAUGUAGAAGCCAAUGAUCAACUAUAGGAGCGAAGAAUCAUUUGCAAGAAAAACACUUGUCGAACAAAAGAGAUCAAGCAAAGAUUGUAUGCUACAAAGAAUUUUGGAUUAUUGCACAAAGAAUGAUUUAAGAUAUAAUAUUGGAGGUACAAUUGCAAUGAAUGAAUGAAUCCUUAUAAAAGAUGAAUGAAACCCUGAUGUUAAAAUUAGAACUAAAGCAAAAUAACGCCCUAUUGCACUAAAUCAAUGGGAUCUAUGCAUGAGUCAAUGCCAAUUUGAUAAGGCACAACAUAAGAUGAGGAUGACUGAGAUGGGAUCUGGAUGUUAGAAGGCCAUCUUGAUGUGGAAGAAAUUUGUGAUCAAUCGAGAGUAAAUUUGGCAUAGGCAAAACUCAAAGGACAUGUUGCACUUUGAUGGAGGAAUUGCGUGUAGGAGCUGAUAUUAUGCUCUAACACCUUGUAGAAGCCAAUGAUCAAACUAUAGGAAGGCAAGAAUCAUCUGCAAGCAAAACACCUGUCGAACAAAAGAGAUCAAGUAAAGAUUGUAUGCUACAUAACAACCAAAGAAUUUUUGAUUAUUGCACAAAGGAUGAUUUAAGAUAUAAUAUUGGAAGUACAAUUACAAUGAAUAAAUGAAUCCUUAUAAAAGAUGAAUAAAACCCUAGGUGCAAACCUUGAUGUUAAAAUUAGAACUAAAGAAAAAUAACGCCUUGGUGCACUAAAUCAAUGGGAUCUAUGCAUGAGUCAAUGCCAAUAUGAUAAGGCACAACAUAAGAUGAGGAUGAUUGAGAUGGGAUCUCAAUGUGAGGAGUAGGAACAUGAAUAUAGGUGUUCGAUCCAACAGAACAUGCAAUACCUUUGACAUACUCAAGCUCCCAUUUAGUAUCGUGAUCAAAGGGUAUGAAAUCUGUAUGUGCAAGGGGAAGAAGACAACAUGUUGCAGGUUUGGAUAUUUGGAGUGAAUUUCUGAUGAUAAUUGAUGAAGAAUUGGUCAAGAUUGUAUCGAGAAGAAUUCACGAUAGCUUUAAAGGCUAUUACUGGUUUUUUGUUCGGAUGGAACUGUUCCUGUGAAUAGGUCAGUAUGAACUAAGAAGUUUAAGCUUUGAUAGGCCUAAUUUGAGAUCAAAGAGGUCUAUGAAUUGACACCAUUACAAACCCUCUGGUAAGAUAUUUUGCUAUGGCUAUAAUAUUUACAAACAAAGAAGGUUCUACAAUUGCUAUUUCAGUGUAUGUUGCUUAUCAUAUGGCUAAGACAUGAAUGAAAAAUGAUUUGUGUUGAGCAAUCUUUGAUUGACUAAGAAUGAUAGUUAUCCUUUUCAUUUCGGAUCAUUGAUUGUAUGCCUAGCUUUCUACUUUUUAAAUUCAUUACCAAUGAAGGAGAAUAUUGCCUGGGAUGAGAACUUAUGCAUUGGGAAGCAAAAAUGGCACUUGGAUUUGUAAGGGAAAUGGAACGUAAGUCCCAAAUUUUUCUUAAGCAUUUAACCAUGAAGAGGUGAUAGAUUGGGUAGGUGUGUUGGAAGGCCAUUUUGAUGUGGAAGAAAUUUAUGACCUAUCGAGAGUAAAUUUGGCAUAGACAAAACUCAAAGGACAUGUUGCACUUUGGAGGAGGAACUGCAUGUAGGAGCUGAUAUUACGCUCUAAUACCAUGUAGAAGCCAAUGAUCAACUAUAGGAGUUGAGAAUCAUUUGCAAGGAAAACACUUGUUGCACAAAAGAGAUCAAGCAAAGAUUUAAUGCUACAUAAAAAGUAAAGAAUUUUGGAUUAUUGCACAAAGAAUGAUUUAAGAUAUAGUAUUGGAGGUACAAUUACUAUGAAUGAAUGAAUCCUUAUAAAAGAUGAAUGAAACCCUGAUGUUAAAAUUAGAACUAACGCAAAAUAACGCCCUGUUGCACUAAAUCAAUGGGAUCUAUGCAUUAGUCAAUGCCAAUUUGAUAAGGCACAACAUAAGAUGUGGAUGAUUGAAAUGGGAUCUCUAUGUGAGGAAUAGGAACAGGAAGAUAGGUGUUCGAUUCAACGGAACAUGCAAUACCUUGGAUAUACUCAAGCUCUUGUUUAGUAUCGUCAUCAAAGGGUAUGAAAUCUGUAUGUGCAAGUGGAACAAGACAAUAUGACCUAUCGAGAGUAAAUUUGGCUUAGACAAAACUCAAAGGACUUUUUUGCACUUUGGUGGAGGAAUUGCAUGUAGGAGUUGAUAUUACGCUCUAAUACCAUAAAGAAGCCAAUGAUCAACUAUAGGAGCCAAGAAUCAUCUGCAAGGAAAAUACCUGUCGCACAAAAGAGAUCAAGCAAAGAUUGUAUGCUACAUAAAAACUAAAGAAUUUGGGAUUAUUGCACAAAGAAUGAUUUAAUGUAUAAUAUUGGAGGUACAAUUACAAUGAAUGAAUGAAUCCUUAUAAAAGAUGAAUGAAACCCUAGGUGCAAACCCUGAUGUUAAAAUUAGAAGUAAAGGAAAAUAACCCCCUUUUGCACUAAAUAAACUAGAUCUAUGCAUGAGUCAAUGCCAAUUUGACAAGGCACAACAUAAGAUGAGGAUGAUUGAUAUGGGAUCUGAAUGCGAGGAAUAGGAACAGGAAGAUAGGUGUUCGAUCCAAGGGAACAUGCAAUACCCUUGAUAUACUAAACCUCCUCUUUAGUAUCAUCAUGAAAGGGUAUGAAAUCUGCAUGUGCAAGUGGAAGAAGACAAUAUGUUGCAUGUUUGGAUAUUUGGAGUGAAUUUCCGAUGAUAAUUGAUGAAGAAUUGGUCAAGAUUGUAUAAAGAAGAAUUCAUGAUAGGUUUAAUGGCUAUUACUAGUUUUUGUUCUAAUGGAACUGUGCCUGUGAAGAGGUCAGUAGGAAACAAAGUAGUUUAAGCUUUGAUAGGCGUAAUUGGAGAUCAAAGAGAUCAAUGAAUUGACACCUUUACAUACACUCUGGUAAGAUAUUUUGUUAUGGGUAAAAUAUUUACCUUCGAAACAAAGAAGGUUCUACAAUUGCUAUUUCAGUUUAUGUUGCUUAUCAUAUGGCUAAGACAUGAAUGAACUAUGAUUUGUGUUGAGCAAUCUUGAUUGACUAAGAAUGAUGGUUAUUCUUUUCAUUUCCGAUCAUUGAUUGUAUGCCUAGCUUUCUACUUUUUAAAUUCAUUAUCAAUGAAGGAGAAUAUUGCUUGGGAUGAGAACUUACCCAUAGGGAAGCAAAAAUGCCACUUGGAUUUGUAAGGGUAAUUUAACAAAAGUCCCAAAUUUUUCUUGAGCAUUUAACCAUGAAGCGUUGAUAGAUUUGGUGGGUGUGUUGGAAGGCCUUUUUGAUGUGGAAGAACCUUAUGACCCAUCGAGAGUAAAUUUGGCAUAGACAAAAACUCAAAGGACAUGUUGCACUUUGGUGGAGGAAUUGCAUGUAGGAGCUGAUAUUAUGCUCUAAUACCAUGUAGAAGCCAAUGAUCAACUAUAGGAGCCAAGAAUCUUCUGCAAGCAAAACACCUGUCGCACAAAAGAGAUCAAGCAAAGAUUGUAUGCUACAUAACAUCCAAAGAAUUUUGGAUUAUUGCACAAACAAUGAUUUAAGAUAUAAUAUUGGAGGUACAGUUACAAUGAAUGAAUGAAUCCUUAUAAAAGAUGAAUGAAACUCUAUGUGCAAACUCUGAUGUUAAAAUUAGAACUAAAGCAAAAUAACGCCUUUUUGCACUAAAUCAAUGGGAUUUAUUCAUGAGUCAAUGCCAAUUUGAGAAGGCACAAUAUAAGAUGAGGAUGAUUGAGAUGGGAUGUCAAUGUGAGGAGUAUUAACAUGAAGAUAGGCGUUCGAUCCAACGGAAAAUGCAAUAGCUUUGAUAUUAUCAAGCUCCUCUUUAGUAUCGUCAUCAAAGGGUAUGAAAUCUGCAGGUGCAAGGGGAAAAUGCAAUAGCUUUGAUAUUAUCAAGCUCCUCUUUAGUAUCGUCAUCAAAGGGUAUGAAAUCUGCAGGUGCAAGGGGAAGAAGACAAUAAAUAUGUUGCAGAUUUGGAUAUAUGGAAUGAAUUUCUGAUGAUAAUUGAUGAGGAAUUGUUCAAGUUUGUAUCAAGAAGAAUUCAUGAUUGCUUUAAAGGCUAUUACUUGUUUUUGUUCGGAUGGAACUGUUCUUGGGAAGAGGUUAGUAGGAAACAAAGAAUUUUAAGGUUUGAUAGGCGUAAUUGGAGAUCAAAGAGCUCUAUUAAUUGACACCAUUACAAUCCCUCUGGUAAGAUAUGUUGCUAUGGGUAUAAUAUUUACCUUCAAAAAAAAGAAGAUUCUACAAUUGCUAUUUUAGUGUAUGUUGCUUAUCAUAUGGCUAAGACAUGAAUGAACUGUGAUUUGUGUUGAGCAAUCUUGAGUGACUAAGAAUGAUGGUUAUCCUUUUCAUUUCGGAUCAUUGAUUGUAUGCCUAGCUUUCUACUUUUUAAAUUCAUUUACCAAUGAAGGAGAAUAUUGCUUGGGAUGAGAACUUACCCAUAGGGAAGCAAAAAUGCCACUUGGAUUUGUAAGGGUAAUGGAACAAAAGUCCAAUUUUUUUUUUUUUCUUAAGCAUUUAAUCAUGAAGAGAUGAUAGAUUUUGUAGGUGUGUUGAAGGCCAUUUUGAUGUGGAAGAAAUUUAUGGCCCAUCGAGAGUAAAUUUGGCAUAGACAAAACUCAAAGGACAUGUUGCACUUUGGUGGAGGAAUUGCAUGUAGGAGCUGAUAUUAUGCUCUAAUACCAUGUAGAAGCUAAUGAUCAACUAUACGAGCCAAGAAUCAUCUGCAAGCAAAACACCUGUCGCACAAAAGUGUCGCACAAAAGAGAUCAAGCAAAGAUUGUAUGCUACAUAACAACCAAAGAAUUUUGGCUUAUUGCACAAAGAAUGAUUUAAGAUAUAAUAUCGAAGGUACAAUUACAAUGAAUGAAUGAAUCCUUAUAAAAGAUAAAUGAAAGCCUAGGUGCAAAUCCUAAUGUUAAAAUUAGUACUAAAGCAAAAUAACAUUCUAUUGCACUAAAUCAAUGGGAUCUAUGCAUGAGUCAAUGCCAAUUUGAUAAGGCACAACAUAAGAUGAAGAUGAUUUAGAUGGGAUCUCGAUGUGAGGAGUAGGAACAUGAAGAUAGGCGUUCGAUCCAACGGAACAUGCAAUACCUUUGAUAUACUCAAGCUCCUCUUUAUUAUCGUCAUCAAAGGGUAUGAAAUCUGUAUGUGCAAGGGGAAGAAGACAAUAUGUUGCAGGAUCCUUCGGGAAUGGAGAGAGAUGAGGGUCUCCGAAGAUCUCCCAAAGGCAAAUCCAAAGUAUGUAGUAUGUAGCACACAUAGUGUCAAAAUCAACACUAGAACCAAUCACACCUACAACAUGGUAUAUGAGAUUACCUCAAGCUGAUUGAAGUAUGAGUCUAUACAAGUAAGGCAACAUAUCUAGCCACCUUAGAUGUGUUAGAAUGUCAUGUCCCCAAGACUCUUAAUUGCACUUAGGUAGGCAAACAAUUGAAGGAUGAACAAAAAAACAAAAGAGAUACAUGGUUGUAUAUGUUAUAGUGAUUUUUUAAAAAUGUGAACAAGGUUAAGUUUCAGACAAUCAUUGCUGUAUUAUGACAUAGUAAACAUAAAUGAUAAAAGACAAUGUACAUACUACCAUCUAACAUUAUUUUUUUAAACAUUACAAAUAUAGAGCAAAAUAAAAGAAUGUAUUGACAUCUAUUUGAUUUAGACACAAGAUGCUGGCAUAUAUUAUAGCGAUUUUAUUAAAUUUGAAGGUGGUUAGGUUUUAGACAAUCAUUGUUGUAUUAUGACAUAGUUAACAUAAGUAAUAAAAGACAGUUUCUAACAUUAUUUUUUUAAUAUCAUAAAAUAUAAAGUAAAAUAAAAUGAUGUAUGCAUUGUUGAACUUAUUUUGAGAUGUAUUUGAGUUACACACAUGAUGCUCAUAGAUUUUAUGGUGAUUUAUUUUUAUUGUGAACAAGGUUAAAUUUUUUAAUAAUCAUUGUUGUAUUAUGACAUUGUUAACAUAAGUAAUAGAAGACAGUGUACAUUCUACCGUCUUAACAUUUUUUUUUAUAAUAUUAUAAAAUUAAAGUGAAAUAAAAGGAUAAAUGCAAUGUUGAAACUUAUUUUGAGAUAUAUUUAAGUUAUACACACAGUGCUCAUAAAUGUUAUGGUGAUUUAUGUUUAACGUGAACAAGGUUAAUUUUUAAGAUGUAUGCAUUGUUGAAAACUUAUUUUGAGAUGUAUUUGAGUUACACAUGAUGUUCAUAGAUAUUAUGGUGAUUUAUUUUAAAUGUGAACAAGGUUAAUUUUUAGUCAAUCAUUGUUGUAUUAUGACAUUGUUAACAUUAACAUACGUAAUAGUAGAAGACAGUGUACAUAUUACCAUCUAACUUUAUUUUUUGGUAUUACAAAACAUAGAGAAAAGUAAAAUAAUGUGUACAUUGCUUGAAAUUCAUAUUCAUAUUUAUUUGAUUUAUAGAAAAUGCUCAUAAAUGUUAUAGAAUGAUCUUAAAUUAGUUCCUUUACUUCACAAGUAAUUGAUAUGUUCACUAUGCAAUUAUAGAAUAUUGAAUUUGAUGUUAAUUAUGAUAUUAAUGUAAUUUAUUUUGCCAUUGAAAAUUACUUAUUGUAUGAUAUCACUAUUUCACAUAUUGACCCUUCCUUUUUGAUUAUUAUUUAUCUUAAUCAAUUGUGGAAUGACAAUGGUUAUGUUAGGAAAUGCUGUAAUUUACUAAUUCUAUGCAUUAAGUAGAAAUUAUUUUACUAAUUAAUUUAAAUUCAAAUAAUGGUGAGAAAUGAUAUUGAAACUAAUUUUAGACCAAUGAAUCUUACUAAUGCAUUUUUGUGUCGCUUGAUGAGGAUACAAUUGUGAGUGGAGCACGUACUUCAUGAAGUCUUCAAAUAGCUUUAAAGGGAGUGAUAACUAAACUUCUAUAUCAAGAGGAAGGAAUGCUAAUUGGACUUCAAGAAAGUACAGGUGUGGUUAACUGAGUUGCAGCAUUAUGCUCCUGGUGUGCUAGUUCUUUUGGUUGGAAGAAAAUUAGUGGUUAACUGAGUUGCAGCAUUAUGCUCCUGGUGUGCUAGUUCUUUUGGUUGGAAGAAAAAUAAGUUGAUAUCCUUGAGGAUAAACAUUUUUUAUCUGACCAUCCUGGUUCAGUCCCUGUAACAACUGCAGAACUGAGUUGCAGCAUUAGGCUCCUGGUGUGCUAGUUCUCUUGGUUGGAAGAAAAAUAAGUAGAUCUUUCUGAGGAUAAACAUUAUUUAUUUGACCGUCCUGGUUCAGUCCCUGUAACAACUGCAGAAUUGGUAAAAUCAGGUUGUUCAAAUUUUCAGCUUUUUUGGAUAUAAAGAUGCUAUCAAUAUCAGUGAUUAUAAUCUGCUCAAGCAGUAUCUCUCCAAGGGUAAACAUUAUUUAUCUGACCAUCGUGGUUCAGACCCUGUAACAACUGCAGAAUGGUUAACUGAGUUGCAGCAUUAUGCUCCUGGUGUGCUAGUUCUUUUGGUUGGAAGAAAAAUAAGUUGAUCCUCCCUGAGGAUAAACAUUAUUUAUCUGAACAUCCUGGUUCAGUCCAUAACAACUGCAUAAGAAUUUGGCCUGUGCUCACUGAUGGUUCAGCCAAUCGCCAAAGCCAUCAGCUACCAAAACACAAGAGGAAUAGCAGAGGGUUAUCCUGUACUAGAAUAUUAUGCAAGAUAUUCGCAAAGGAUAUAGGAACAGCAAGGCUUUCUUCAACACCUAUAGCAAUGGUAACAACCAGUCUUGUGAAAUUGGUGACAACAUCCAGUAUUGCAACAACAAAGUUUGCAUACCAGCUUUUUUUGUAUACCAGUCUUGUGAAAUUGGUGACAACAUCCAGUAUUGCAACAACAAAGUUUGCAUACCAGCUUUUUUUGUAUACAUAAUUCAAUGGUUAUAUCAAUCGCUUGUUAGUUGGUUUGCAUACCAGCCUUCUUUGUAAGGUUAUGCCAAUGGUUCAUAGAAAUAUCUCGAGCAAUUUCAUGCUUAUUGUGAGUUUAUUAUUACUGCCCAAACUCAAACAUCUUGAUGGUUUAAUGACGCCUGACGAAGGCAUUCAACUUUAUUGGAAUAGAAAACAUACUAUGAUCAUGUAUCGUUAGUUUGUCAAAUUAUUUUUUUUCA